GACACUUUGGCCGAGUGGUUUAAGGCGCAGGCCUGCUACUACAUUGUACUAGCUGUUUAGCCUGUGGGUUCGCCCGCCUGGGUUCGAGUCCCAGAGGUGUCG
This 102-nucleotide transfer RNA is filed under the name Aspergillus niger. RNAcentral describes it as "tRNA-Ser". It matches the Rfam family "tRNA". Rfam says of the family: Transfer RNA (tRNA) molecules are approximately 80 nucleotides in length. Their secondary structure includes four short double-helical elements and three loops (D, anti-codon, and T loops). Further hydrogen bonds mediate the characteristic L-shaped molecular structure. tRNAs have two regions of fundamental functional importance: the anti-codon, which is responsible for specific mRNA codon recognition, and the 3' end, to which the tRNAs corresponding amino acid is attached (by aminoacyl-tRNA synthetases). tRNAs cope with the degeneracy of the genetic code in two manners: having more than one tRNA (with a specific anti-codon) for a particular amino acid; and 'wobble' base-pairing, i.e. permitting non-standard base-pairing at the 3rd anti-codon position. The record is from RNAcentral. RNAcentral also lists the same sequence under 1 other name. Lineage: Eukaryota; Fungi; Ascomycota; Eurotiomycetes; Eurotiales; Aspergillaceae.